GCCGACUUAGCUCAGUGGUAGAGCAUCUCAUUCGUAAUGAGAGGGUCGUCGGUUCAAUCCCGACAGUCGGCUCCA
Molecule: transfer RNA, 75 nt
Filed under: Opitutaceae bacterium
Lineage: Bacteria; Pseudomonadati; Verrucomicrobiota; Opitutia; Opitutales; Opitutaceae
Description: tRNA-Thr
Rfam family: tRNA
About the family: Transfer RNA (tRNA) molecules are approximately 80 nucleotides in length. Their secondary structure includes four short double-helical elements and three loops (D, anti-codon, and T loops). Further hydrogen bonds mediate the characteristic L-shaped molecular structure. tRNAs have two regions of fundamental functional importance: the anti-codon, which is responsible for specific mRNA codon recognition, and the 3' end, to which the tRNAs corresponding amino acid is attached (by aminoacyl-tRNA synthetases). tRNAs cope with the degeneracy of the genetic code in two manners: having more than one tRNA (with a specific anti-codon) for a particular amino acid; and 'wobble' base-pairing, i.e. permitting non-standard base-pairing at the 3rd anti-codon position.
Source: RNAcentral